UACGUAGGGGGCAAGCGUUGUCCGGAAUUAUUGGGCGUAAAGGGCGCGCAGGCGGUCUCUUAAGUCUGAUGUGAAAACUCGAGGCUCACCCUUGAGCGGUCAUUGGAAACUGGGAGACUUGAGUGUAGGAGAGGAAAGUGGAAUUCCACGUGUAGCGGUGAAAUGCGUAGAGAUGUGGAGGAACACCAGUGGCGAAGGCGACUUUCUGGUCUACAACUGACGCUGAGGCGCGAAAGCAUGGGGAGCGAACAGG
RNAcentral lists this unclassified non-coding RNA (253 nucleotides) under uncultured Sporolactobacillaceae bacterium. Its description in RNAcentral is "contains 16S-23S intergenic spacer region". It matches the Rfam family "Bacterial small subunit ribosomal RNA", at positions 524 to 776 of the family's 1533-position model. Lineage: Bacteria; Bacillati; Bacillota; Bacilli; Caryophanales; Sporolactobacillaceae. The record is from RNAcentral.